CCUACGGGAGGCAGCAGUGAGGAAUAUUGGUCAAUGGACGCGAGUCUGAACCAGCCAAGUCGCGUGAAGGAAGACGGCCCUAUGGGUUGUAAACUUCUUUUAUCAAGGAGUAAAACGCGGCACGCGUGCCUUUUUGCAUGUACUUUAUGAAUAAGGAUCGGCUAACUCCGUGCCAGCAGCCGCGGUAAUACGGAGGAUUCGAGCGUUAUCCGGAUUUAUUGGGUUUAAAGGGUUGGUAGGUGGGUUGUUAAGUCAGUUGUAAAAUUUUGCGGCACAAACGUAAAAUUGCAGUUAAUACUGGCAGUCUUGAGUGCAGGUGAGGGAGGCGGAAUGCGUGGUGGAGGGGUGAAAUGCAUAGAUAUCACGAAGAACCCCGAUUGCGAAGGCAGCUUA
Molecule: ribosomal RNA, 393 nt
Filed under: uncultured bacterium
Lineage: Bacteria
Description: partial 16S ribosomal RNA
Rfam family: Bacterial small subunit ribosomal RNA
Source: RNAcentral